CUUUGUUAUUCUUACUAGUAUGCCAAAAGAGAUAUGAUGAAUCGCAAAUGUAUUUUCAUAAAAUUGAGAAUGGAAAUGGGGAAUUUGCUUUUUAUGGAUAAAUUAAAAAAUAUAUAUAUAUAUAUCAGCUGUACAAUAUACACAGUAGCGCUGAGAUCUUGCAAUACAAUUUUUUUUUAAUAACUGUCAUUUUCAAUUCCUAAUCUAAUGGGUGAGCACUGAUUCUUGAAUACGUAUGAAAUGCCUUUCUUAGAAUCAAUGAUAUCUAAAUAUUCUUGAAGCAAUCUUUAAAUGAUAAAUAAAGUUGUCAGUGUUCAUCGAUCUGAUGAGUUCAACCCAUUUCAACUAAUUUUUACCCCCCACCCCCUUCUCCCCCCAAUGAUCCAAGUCAGUGUAACUGCAUGCAUGGUAGUUUAGUGGUUGUCUGUCAUAUUUGUUUUUCGUCAAUAGUUUUGUUGUAAUUCAUCAGUCCCACCUCUCCCCCAAACUAAUAUAAAAUAGGCAUGUCAUUCUAAAUUUUGAAAUGAGCUCAGGAUAUAAAACCAGUACAAACAUAUUGAGUGUCAUAUCUCAGACUAUGUCUGAUCGAUCUUUAUUGGAAUUGGUGUGUGCUGUCUCCGUAUUUCGUGGAUCCAAAUUCCCAAACAUAGUUCGUCCUAUUACUCAUCUUAUUUUUAGGACCUUGUUUUGUACUUUUGUCUUUUCAUUUUGACUGACGCUACUUUAUUUGCUAAUUCCGCGAAUUCAUUUUAAUAAAACUCAUAUGAUAGAUACAAGGGGUAGAAAAUGUUGCAACCGAAGAGGGCGGGUUGUGUUAUCCAACUCUGAUAUAUUUAUUUAUGUAGUUCAAAGUAGUGAAACAUCACUCCCCUGAUAUGCCAAAGGGGGAAACUGAAGAUCUAUAGCGAUAGUUCAAGACACAAAAAAACAACAGCGAACUAGAACUAGAACAGCACAGAAUGACAGUUGACAUGCAGUGGCGGAUCCAGCCGGGGGUAUUGGAUUCCCCUUGUUUUGGCCAAUCAAUGCAUUUGAAUGGGGACAUGUGAAUGGUUUGAUUCACCCCUGACACGUAAACGCCCAAAUUAAAAAAGGAAUAAAAUACGAAGUCCCGUGAAACGAAAGAGUGACGAGGGUAAGGACUGAGCAGUUGCAAUAAGUAUGUGUAUCAACUCAAAUAUACUGAGACUAAUAUACCGCUUGAGAAGAAUACUGGAAAUGAAGACGGACAACCACAAAUAUUAUAGGGAACCGAGUUGGAUCUUUUUAGAGAAAAUUUACCCCGUUCACUUAAGACAGAUUCAUUGUCGGAAUAAUGAGCUGUCCGGAUAAUGGGCUGUCGGAAUCAUGAGUGGGCUUUAUGAGAAAUGGGCUGUCGGAAUUAUGGUUGUCGGACUACUGGGAUGUCACCAAAUUUCCUAUAGCUUCAAAUUUUAUGUGUCUGUGUAUUUACGAAAAAAACAUUAAAAAGGGUUCAAAUUGUGUACUAUUUAAGACCCGAAACCAAUGCAUUCACAAGUUUGAUAAUUGUGUUCUAACAAUUACACUUUAUAAACCGAUAUCGUUCAUUUGUAUAUGUUCCAGACUAUAUGAGUAUUUGGACCGUACUCUUACGGUCCCGACCGUAUACGUAUAGUCGUACGGUCGGACCGUACGCGUAUGGUCCAGUACGAGCUGAUCUUACAUGUUAUUGGAUCAUCUGGGUUAAAUUUAAACAAACAUUUAUCACAA
This 1731-nucleotide long non-coding RNA is filed under the name Mytilus galloprovincialis (Mediterranean mussel). Lineage: Eukaryota; Metazoa; Mollusca; Bivalvia; Mytilida; Mytilidae. The record is from RNAcentral.